GAUGAACGCUGGCGCCGUGCCUAACACAUGCAAGUCGAACGGACAUUUUUUGGAAAGUUCUUCGGAACUGGAAUCUAAAUGUUAGUGGCGGACGGGUGAGUAACGCGUGAGCAAUCUGCCUUUCAGAGGGGGAUAACAGCUGGAAACGGCUGCUAAUACCGCAUAAUGCAUCGAAUUCGCAUGUUUCUGAUGCCAAAGAUUUUAUCGCUGAAAGAUGAGCUCGCGUCUGAUUAGCUAGUUGGCGGGGUAACGGCCCACCAAGGCGACGAUCAGUAGCCGGACUGAGAGGUUGAACGGCCACAUUGGGACUGAGACACGGCCCAGACUCCUACGGGAGGCAGCAGUGGGGAAUAUUGCGCAAUGGGGGCAACCCUGACGCAGCAACGCCGCGUGAUUGAUGAAGGUCUUCGGAUUGUAAAAAUCUUUAAUCAGGGACGAAUAAAAUGACGGUACCUGAAGAAUAAGCUCCGGCUAACUACGUGCCAGCAGCCGCGGUAAUACGUAGGGAGCAAGCGUUAUCCGGAUUUACUGGGUGUAAAGGGCGUGUAGGCGGGCUUGCAAGUUGGAAGUGAAAUCUCGGGGCUUAACCCCGAAACUGCUUUCAAAACUGCGAGUCUUGAGUGAUGGAGAGGCAGGCGGAAUUCCCAGUGUAGCGGUGAAAUGCGUAGAUAUUGGGAGGAACACCAGUGGCGAAGGCGGCCUGCUGGACAUUAACUGACGCUGAGGCGCGAAAGCGUGGGGAGCAAACAGG
Molecule: ribosomal RNA, 751 nt
Filed under: uncultured bacterium
Lineage: Bacteria
Description: bacterial SSU rRNA
Rfam family: Bacterial small subunit ribosomal RNA
Source: RNAcentral